UGGGCAACCUGCCCCUAGCUCUGGGAUAACUGCGGGAAACUGUAGCUAAUACCGGAUGUGACACGAGACUGCAUGGUCUUCGUGUGGAAAGAUUUAUCGGCUAGGGAUGGGCCCGCGGUCUAUCAGCUUGUUGGUGGGGUAAUGGCUCACCAAGGCGACGACGGAUAACCGGCCUGAGAGGGCGACCGGUCACACGUGGGACUGAGACACGGCCCAGACCUCCGUACGGGAGGNA
RNAcentral lists this ribosomal RNA (235 nucleotides) under uncultured bacterium. Its description in RNAcentral is "partial 16S ribosomal RNA". It matches the Rfam family "Bacterial small subunit ribosomal RNA", at positions 118 to 350 of the family's 1533-position model. The record is from RNAcentral.